Molecule: ribosomal RNA, 103 nt
Filed under: Leyella stercorea
Lineage: Bacteria; Pseudomonadati; Bacteroidota; Bacteroidia; Bacteroidales; Prevotellaceae
Source: RNAcentral
AUUGCGGCGGUGUCCCACCUCUUCCCAUUCCGAACAGAGAAGUUAAGCCCGCUUGCGCCGAUGGUACUGCAAUGCAAUGCGGGAGAGUAGGUGGCUGCCUUCU